RNAcentral lists this ribosomal RNA (413 nucleotides) under uncultured microorganism. RNAcentral's name for it is "bacterial SSU rRNA". It matches the Rfam family "Archaeal small subunit ribosomal RNA", at positions 459 to 871 of the family's 1478-position model. The record is from RNAcentral.
CAGCCGCCGCGGUAAUACCGGCGGCCCGAGUGGCGGUCACUAUUAUUGGGCUUAAAGCGUCCGUAGCCGGGUUGGGAAGUCCUCCGGGAAAUCUGGCCGCUUAACGGUCAGAAUGCCGGAGGAUACUCCCAGCCUAGGGAGCGGGAGAGGCCGAGGGUAUUCCCGGGGUGGGGGGGAAAACCUAUAAUCCCGGGAGGACCACCUGUGGCGCAGGCGCUCGGCUGGAACGCGUCCGACGGUGAGGGACGAAGGCCAGGGGAGCAAACCGGAUUAGAUACCCGGGUAGUCCUGGCUGUAAACGAUGCGGCCUUUGUGUCGGACAAGCUAUGAGCUUGUCCGGUGCCGGAGGGAAACCGUUAAGUCCGCCGCCUGGGGAGUACGGCCGCAAGGCUGAAACUUAAAGGAAUUGGGGG